Molecule: ribosomal RNA, 496 nt
Filed under: uncultured bacterium
Lineage: Bacteria
Description: partial 16S ribosomal RNA
Rfam family: Bacterial small subunit ribosomal RNA
Source: RNAcentral
AGGAAAGAGGGCGGCGGGCCGAAUACAUGCAAGUCGAGCGAACAGACGAGGAGCUUGCUCCUCUGACGUUAGCGGCGGACGGGUGAGUAACACGUGGAUAACCUACCUAUAAGACUGGGAUAACUUCGGGAAACCGGAGCUAAUACCGGAUAAUAUAUUGAACCGCAUGGUUCAAUAGUGAAAGACGGUUUUGCUGUCACUUAUAGAUGGAUCCGCGCCGCAUUAGCUAGUUGGUAAGGUAACGGCUUACCAAGGCAACGAUGCGUAGCCGACCUGAGAGGGUGAUCGGCCACACUGGAACUGAGACACGGUCCAGACUCCUACGGGAGGCAGCAGUAGGGAAUCUUCCGCAAUGGGCGAAAGCCUGACGGAGCAACGCCGCGUGAGUGAUGAAGGUCUUCGGAUCGUAAAACUCUGUUAUUAGGGAAGAACAAAUGUGUAAGUAACUAUGCACGUCUUGACGGUACCUAAUCAGAAAGCCCCGGCUCCCUACGUU